CCCCGAGUGGCUGAGUGGUCUAAAGCGCUCUCCGUUACGGAUCACUGCCAUCUCACCUCUGUCUGCGUUGGUUCGAUUCUAAGAUUCGGGGA
This is a non-coding RNA of Potamilus streckersoni, 92 nucleotides long. The record is from the annotation of a GenBank genome assembly. NCBI's taxonomy places the organism in Eukaryota, Metazoa, Mollusca, Bivalvia, Unionida, Unionidae.